UGACCUAAAGAGCUUAAGUUUAAUUAUUGAUAAGCUUAUAUCAGAAUGAGCCUGCUGGUCUGGUGGUUAGAUGGAGUGUUGGUGUGUUGGAGGUCCUGUGUUCAAAUCCAGGUGCGAGCAUAGGUAUUAAUUUUUGUUUCAGUUAGCAGUGAGUGUUUAGAUGGAGUUAAAAGUCUGUGGGAGUGGGUAGUUACUAGUUGGUAGUGAUUUAGUGGGAUUGAGGGGUGAUUUUGUUAUCUUUUAUUUUAUUUUUCCGAAAUCUCCAAAAAUUUUCUUCUAGUUUUGACUUCUCAUUUUCCUCUUAAUCUGCUGAAAUUUUUC
RNAcentral lists this long non-coding RNA (321 nucleotides) under Gossypium barbadense (sea-island cotton). Its description in RNAcentral is "long non-coding RNA (GBAR_LNC009195)". The record is from RNAcentral. Lineage: Eukaryota; Viridiplantae; Streptophyta; Magnoliopsida; Malvales; Malvaceae.